Molecule: long non-coding RNA, 381 nt
Organism: Heterocephalus glaber (naked mole-rat)
Lineage: Eukaryota; Metazoa; Chordata; Mammalia; Rodentia; Bathyergidae
Source: Ensembl
GAUGUAUUAUAUACCUCAAGGGCCUUAGGCUAAGUAAUUGAAUCUUCCAUGCCUCUCCAUUUUGGAAACUUCCUUCUGGAUUGGUGGAUAGAGAAAGAACUUUGAAAGCCAGGGGUCUUCAAAAUCUGCCACCACCAAGCUGAGCUCAAAGCGUUUAAUGAGGAUUUAAAAGCAGCCAUGUCUCGUUUCAGCUGGAGGAACAUCAAACCACCAUCUGGUAGGUGCUGGAGACAUCUGACAGUGACAGGUGGACAGCUGCACAAAUCACCUACUCUGGACACGUGAGCCUUCAGGAAGUGUUAUAAAUAGGCUGUGAGGCAGCUUCAGUUACCAGUGACUACGUAGUGUGAAUUUCUUCAAAUCAUAAUCUUAUCAAAUUGA